This is a long non-coding RNA of Humulus lupulus (European hop), 245 nucleotides long. RefSeq lists it as uncharacterized. NCBI's taxonomy places the organism in Eukaryota, Viridiplantae, Streptophyta, Magnoliopsida, Rosales, Cannabaceae. The record is from RefSeq and is a predicted model, not a curated record. The transcript is spliced from 2 exons.
CUUAGCUUUGUUUAUAUGGUUUGAGAUUUUAGCUUCUCACUUGAUACAUAUGUAUAACAAUACUCUUCUCUUCAAACAAUUGGUUUUAAUAUGCAGGCUGAAGGAUCAUCAGCUGAAUCUAUAGCUGCUCUGGCCAAAGUUGAUACUGUUAAGCAGAGAAUGGAAGCUGCUUAUGAGACAUUGCAGGAUGCUGCUGGGUUAACUCAAUUAAGUUCAACUGUGGAAGAUGUUUUUGCCAGUGGUGA